This 539-nucleotide ribosomal RNA is filed under the name uncultured Mycobacterium sp. RNAcentral's name for it is "bacterial SSU rRNA". It matches the Rfam family "Bacterial small subunit ribosomal RNA", at positions 54 to 606 of the family's 1533-position model. Lineage: Bacteria; Bacillati; Actinomycetota; Actinomycetes; Mycobacteriales; Mycobacteriaceae. The record is from RNAcentral.
CAUGCAAGUCGAACGGAAAGGCCCUUUCGGGGGUACACGAGUGGCGAACGGGUGAGUAACACGUGGGUGAUCUGCCCUGCACUUUGGGAUAAGCCUGGGAAACUGGGUCUAAUACCGAAUACACCCUGCUGGUCGCAUGGCCUGGUGGGGGAAAGCUUUUGCGGUGUGGGAUGGGCCCGCGGCCUAUCAGCUUGUUGGUGCGGUGAUGGCCUACCAAGGCGACGACGGGUAGCCGGCCUGAGAGGGUGUCCGGCCACACUGGGACUGAGAUACGGCCCAGACUCCUACGGGAGGCAGCAGUGGGGAAUAUUGCACAAUGGGCGCAAGCCUGAUGCAGCGACGCCGCGUGAGGGAUGACGGCCUUCGGGUUGUAAACCUCUUUCAAUAGGGACGAAGCGUGAGUGACGGUACCUAUAGAAGAAGCACCGGCCAACUACGUGCCAGCAGCCGCGGUAAUACGUAGGGUGCGAGCGUUGUCCGGAAUUACUGGGCGUAAAGAGCUCGUAGGUGGUUUGUCGCGUUGUUCGUGAAAACUCACA